AACGAACGCUGGCGGCAUGCCUAACACAUGCAAGUCGAACGAGACCUUCGGGUCUAGUGGCGCACGGGUGCGUAACGCGUGGGAACCUACCCUUAGGUUCGGAAUAACUCCCCGAAAGGGGUGCUAAUACCGGAUAAUGUCUUCGGACCAAAGAUUUAUCGUCUUUGGAUGGGCCCGCGUUGGAUUAGCUAGUUGGUAGGGUAAAAGCCUACCAAGGCGACGAUCCAUAGCUGGUCUGAGAGGAUGAUCAGCCACACUGGGACUGAGACACGGCCCAGACUCCUACGGGAGGCAGCAGUGGGGAAUAUUGGACAAUGGGCGAAAGCCUGAUCCAGCAAUGCCGCGUGAGUGAUGAAGGCCUUAGGGUUGUAAAGCUCUUUUACCCGGGAUGAUAAUGACAGUACCGGGAGAAUAAGCUCCGGCUAACUCCGUG
Molecule: ribosomal RNA, 433 nt
Filed under: uncultured bacterium
Lineage: Bacteria
Description: partial 16S ribosomal RNA
Rfam family: Bacterial small subunit ribosomal RNA
Source: RNAcentral